UACGGAGGGAGCUAGCGUUGUUCGGAAUUACUGGGCGUAAAGCGCACGUAGGCGGCUUUGUAAGUUAGAGGUGAAAGCCCGGGGCUCAACUCCGGAACUGCCUUUAAGACUGCAUCGCUUGAAUCCAGGAGAGGUGAGUGGAAUUCCGAGUGUAGAGGUGAAAUUCGUAGAUAUUCGGAAGAACACCAGUGGCGAAGGCGGCUCACUGGACUGGUAUUGACGCUGAUGUGCGAAAGCGUGGGGAGCAAACAGG
This 253-nucleotide ribosomal RNA is filed under the name uncultured bacterium. RNAcentral's name for it is "partial 16S ribosomal RNA". It matches the Rfam family "Bacterial small subunit ribosomal RNA", at positions 524 to 776 of the family's 1533-position model. The record is from RNAcentral.